This 903-nucleotide ribosomal RNA is filed under the name uncultured Peptoniphilus sp. RNAcentral describes it as "bacterial SSU rRNA". It matches the Rfam family "Bacterial small subunit ribosomal RNA", at positions 54 to 964 of the family's 1533-position model. Lineage: Bacteria; Bacillati; Bacillota; Tissierellia; Tissierellales; Peptoniphilaceae. The record is from RNAcentral.
CAUGCAAGUCGAGCGAUGAAACUUUAACAGAACCCUUCGGGGCGAAGAUAAAGUGGAUUAGCGGCGGACGGGUGAGUAACACGUGAGUAACCUGCCUUAGACAUUGGGAUAGCCUCGGGAAACCGGGAUUAAUACCAAAUAAAAUCAUAAUGACACAUGUCAUAACGAUCAAAACUCCGGUGGUCUAAGAUGGACUCGCGUCCCAUUAGCUAGUUGGUAGAGUAAAAGCCUACCAAGGCGACGAUGGGUAGCCGGCCUGAGAGGGUGAACGGCCACAUUGGAACUGAGAAACGGUCCAAACUCCUACGGGAGGCAGCAGUGGGGAAUAUUGCACAAUGGAGGGAACUCUGAUGCAGCGACGCCGCGUGAACGAAGAAGGCUUUCGAGUCGUAAAGUUCUUUUAUAUGGGAAGAUAAUGACGGUACCAUAAGAAAAAGCCCCGGCUAACUACGUGCCAGCAGCCGCGGUAAUACGUAGGGGGCUAGCGUUGUCCGGAAUCACUGGGCGUAAAGGGUUCGCAGGCGGAAAUGCAAGUCAGAUGUAAAAGGCAGUAGCUUAACUACUGUAAGCAUUUGAAACUGCAUAUCUUGAGAAGAGUAGAGGUAAGUGGAAUUUUUAGUGUAGCGGUGAAAUGCGUAGAUAUUAAAAAGAAUACCGGUGGCGAAGGCGACUUACUGGGCUCAUUCUGACGCUGAGGAACGAAAGCGUGGGUAGCAAACAGGAUUAGAUACCCUGGUAGUCCACGCUGUAAACGAUGAGUGCUAGGUGUCGGCGAAUGUCGGUGCCGCAGUUAACACAAUAAGCACUCCGCCUGGGGAGUACGUGCGCAAGCAUGAAACUCAAAGGAAUUGACGGGGACCCGCACAAGCAGCGGAGCAUGUGGUUUAAUUCGAAGCAACGCGA